RNAcentral lists this long non-coding RNA (1304 nucleotides) under Crocodylus porosus (Australian saltwater crocodile). RNAcentral's name for it is "lncRNA (ENSCPRG00005002950.1)". The record is from RNAcentral. Lineage: Eukaryota; Metazoa; Chordata; Crocodylia; Crocodylidae.
CGGAAGCUCUCCUGCGCUAGCCAGUUGGGCGACCCGGUCCGUCACAGUGGCGGCGGCGGUGGCGGAGGAAGGCGGGGCGCAGCGGCGCUCAUGCGCAGAGGGCGCCGGGGCUGCCAUUUUGUUUGGCCGCGGCGCUUGGUGGCCCGGGCGGGUUGCACUCGUUUCCGGGUUGGCGGCGGGAGGCGGACCCGGUGCGGAACGUGCGGCGGCGGCGGCGGAAAAAGCCAUGUCUGGUGCUGAAAAGCUGUGUGUAUAGAAAACCAUUCCUGCUGUCAGGGGAGUGCAGUAGAGACCUCGUGGAAUGGAUACUUUUGCCUCGUUCAUGCUGACCACACAGAAUGACUUAACCUUGUCUUAAGUCUGAUCCCACUUGUAUAACCAGUCUGGUGGUGUGGCAGGGACCCUCGGCGCCCAUUUCAGAAUGCUGUCCGACUGGCCGGCGGCUGAAGUGUAACUUCACUGGUACUCAAAGCUCCCCUGCCUGGAGGAUUCAGUAGCUGCCCUUGGGAUCUUCCACAAAAUUGAGUCUUCAGUGCCACUGUCCUUCAUGGAACGGGUGAGACAGUAGGCCUCUUCUUAAUUGUGUGAAUUCGGUUUAUUUUGAAUAAUACACAUGACUAUUAGUUCUGUGAGUGGAGGGGAGGCAGGAUAGUUUCAUAGUGCUUAGGGUCGGAAGGGACCUAAACAGAACAUAAGGUCUGACACCACCACCCCCCUCCCCCCGCCCUGGGCAGGAACGAGUGCAUGGUCAUAACACCCCAGCCAAACAUCUGUCCAGCCUCUUCUUCAUAGAAUCAUAGAAGUCGGGUUGGAAGGGACCUUGUAGAUCUUCAAGUCCGACCCCCCGCCUGGGCAGGAGAAAAGACUGGACUCAUUUGAGUCUAGCCAGGUAGUCAUCAAGCCUCUUCUUAAAGAUCCUCAGGGUAGGAGCCAGCACCACUUCCCUAGGAAGUUGGUUCCAGCUCCUAGCCGCCCUAACUGUGAAGUAGCUCUUGCGGAUGUCUAAUCUAAACCUACUCUAAUAAUUUGUGUCCGUUGUUCCUUGUCAUGCCAGGGGGAGCUAGGGGAAACAGCGUCUUCCCUAAACCCUUCUGGCCCUCCCCCCGGUGAGUUUAUAGACAGUUACCAGGUCCCUCCUCAGCCUUCCCUUGUGAAGGCCAAACAGGUUUAGGUCCUGCAGGCUUUCAAUGUAGGGUCUGCCCUGUAGUCCCCGGAUGCGAGUGGCCCUCCUUUGGACCCUUUCAAUGUUUCAUAGAUUUCAUAGACAUUAGGGCUGGAAGGGACCUCGGGAGAUCAUCGAGUCC